CACAAUCAUAGGAGGCAAUGUAAUAAUAGACAAAUCUAGAUUAAUAUUCCAACUUGGCUACCUACCAGGUGAGCGAUGUUGGGCACUAAAGAUUCUUAAAUAUUUUGAGCCUCAGAUUCCAUUUCAAAGUGGUGAUUAAGACUGAAUUAAAUAACAUAUGCAAAGUACACAGCCCAUUGUUCAGAACACAGCAAGUAUUCAACAAAUACUGGCUCUGGUUCUCCAUAUGUCAUGUUGAAACAUUUAAAGCAAGUACUAAUAUUUAUAGAAUAUAUAUGUGUGUGUGUGUGGCUGUUGUAGAACGAAUGGCAAGGAGAUAAAAGGUCCACAAUCCUUAUAGGGUUAUAAGGACCCCUCGGGACAGUUCUUUUUCAGAAUUCAGAAUUUUUCAGAUUUUAGAAAGGUAAUAUACUGUGUAUUUGGUAAAACCCAAAUAUGGUGCAAUUUACAAUAUACUCUCAAGUCAACAUUAUUAAAUAACACUAUUCAAAUCCUCA
This is a long non-coding RNA of Homo sapiens (human), 497 nucleotides long. The record is from Ensembl. Lineage: Eukaryota; Metazoa; Chordata; Mammalia; Primates; Hominidae.